AGUGUGGUAUUAAAACAGAGUGUACCUACAUUAGACAAUAAUGACUCUUUUCCACACUAUUGCUCUCGAAAGAUGCCACUAAUAAAGUAAGAAGUGCUGUGACGUUCGGAUUUUAAUACAUAGGACUAUACUUGUAGUAUACUCGUAGUAUAUUUUAUACUAUUUUUUUCGGAUAACAUAUGUUAAAGAGGCGAUUGAAAAACAAACUGAGAGGAAACUCGGACUUAAAUGUGCUGAUCUCAAAAAAUGGCUUAGCAUAGAUCCAGACUUAGUCUUUUAUGAAUGGAUUUCAGCUAAUGGGAGGAAAUGUAAGAUAGACGUGUAACUGGCCGCUCAAAACUUUUAAUCAUAAUAUUUUUUGGAGUGUUUGGUUUUUUGGGUAGAGAUAGGUCCCGCCAACCAUGAAAAAAAUUAACAGGAGAUUUGAGAAACACUAAAAACCUUUUAUUCAACGGACUAAAUGGUGAAAAUGUCAGUCUGGGGACGAGUAACUAGGGAAUUAGUCAAUGCAUCAAACUGUUGUAUAAAUGAACCUGAACCUUCUGAGAGCUUGGCUCAUUUUAUUUUAAGUCUUGACUUGAAGCUUGAAGCGUGUAUUCAACGAAACUCAAUAUUCGGUCAGUAUGGUGACGCUUUCAGCCACUCAGAAUACAGUGCUGCAGUGCGGAUUGGGGCGUGAAUUAGUGCCGGGGGAUCAUACUUCACAGAUUCUAACUUCUAGUUUCCCUCACCGCAACGAGCGAAGAAACGAAUCCUUUGAGAAUCUUAGAGAAGCAUCUUCCAGGCAAAUGUGAAUGCAGGCCAACAGUUAAUUCAAAUGUCUUUUGGAGGUUUAUUUGGAUUACUCUUACCCCUUAUCUUCGGGAUAAACGGAGAACAUAAUAAUGAAACGGCUACGGUUCCGAGAGUCGAGUAUGACAGACUUAAAAGGAAUUUUCUCGCUCAAGAGGAAACGUUAUUCCAGCUGUAUGAGGAACGACGCAAAUUGGAUUUUGAUUUAGUGCGUAUCAGAUUGUGUCUCUCCCAUUCAAAAAUAUAUUUGUAAUUUUUGGA
Non-coding RNA from Bemisia tabaci, 1053 nucleotides. The record is from RefSeq and is a predicted model, not a curated record. NCBI's taxonomy places the organism in Eukaryota, Metazoa, Arthropoda, Insecta, Hemiptera, Aleyrodidae.